RNAcentral lists this ribosomal RNA (505 nucleotides) under uncultured bacterium. RNAcentral describes it as "partial 16S ribosomal RNA". It matches the Rfam family "Bacterial small subunit ribosomal RNA", at positions 28 to 507 of the family's 1533-position model. The record is from RNAcentral.
GACGAACGCUGGCGGCGUGCCUAAUACAUGCAAGUAGAACGCACAGUUUAUACCGUAGCUUGCUACACCAUAGACUGUGAGUUGCGAACGGGUGAGUAACGCGUAGGUAACCUGCCUGGUAGCGGGGGAUAACUAUUGGAAACGAUAGCUAAUACCGCAUAAUAUUAAUUAUUGCAUGAUAAUUAAUUGAAAGGUGCAAUUGCACCACUACCAGAUGGACCUGCGUUGUAUUAGCUAGUAGGUGAGGUAACGGCUCACCUAGGCGACGAUACAUAGCCGACCUGAGAGGGUGAUCGGCCACACUGGGACUGAGACACGGCCCAGACUCCUACGGGAGGCAGCAGUAGGGAAUCUUCGGCAAUGGACGAAAGUCUGACCGAGCAACGCCGCGUGAGUGAAGAAGGUUUUCGGAUCGUAAAGCUCUGUUGUAAGAGAAGAACGGGUGUGAGAGUGGAAAGCUCACACUGUGACGGUAUCUUACCAGAAAGGGACGGCUAACUACGUG